This is a non-coding RNA of Chiloscyllium plagiosum (whitespotted bambooshark), 2348 nucleotides long. The record is from RefSeq and is a predicted model, not a curated record. NCBI's taxonomy places the organism in Eukaryota, Metazoa, Chordata, Chondrichthyes, Orectolobiformes, Hemiscylliidae.
AGCGGUGUUUUCUGAGUCUGCGCGAUUGGAGCUUCGUGAAUUCGGUGGGUGGCAGCCCCUCGGGAAAUGGCGGCGUCGACUGGCCGCUGGUUUGGCUUCGGGUUUAAUCAGUUCGGGCAGGUCGCCAACCGGAGGGAGCGCGAGGGGGACGGGAAGGUCCUGGAGCCCGUCACGGUGACCGUGCACAGCCCGGAGAAAGCCGGACAAUGGCCGGCGGACAGAUCCUCCCUGAGGAAGAUGAGCCCAGCCUGGAGUUACACUGCCUGCCUGGGAGGUGAUGGAUCUACUUAUUUGUUCGGCUUUGUUGAUGGUCGCCCUUGGCAACAGAUGUGCAUUAAUAACCAAGCCCAUCAGGAUUGCACGGACAUCCUGUCCUCUGAGAAGUACUUAUUAAUGUUAUGGCAGGAUAGAGUGGAAUGCAGGGAUAUCCAGAAGCUUUGUACUGGAGAGGUCACGGGUGACUUGACUUGGACGAGGCAGCUGAAGGAAGGGGAAAAGCAAUGUACAGCACUUCCACUGAUCCCUGGUGGGUAUGUCACAACAACACCUCCGUUUUACAAACCAUUGUCACCACAACUUCGUGCGAAAAAGCUGGCACUUGGCAGUGAGCAUGCUGUCCUCCUGAACUGUGAUUUGACAGUGUAUUCCUGGGGCUCAGGACGGCAUGGUCAGUUGGGACAUGGUGGUGUUGAGGAUGAAGCAGAACCACGUAUUGUGGAGGCAUUACAUGGGCUGGCUAUGGCUGAAGUAGCAGCUGGAGGCUGGCAUUCUGUGAGUUCAAGUGCAUCAGGAGAUUUGUAUGUUUGGGGAUGGAAUGAGUCUGGGCAGUUGGGCCUUCCUGCAAAGUCAUGCUCUGAGGAGAAGCAGCGGAAGACCUCUUGGCAGAAGGGGCUCUCAGGAGAGGUCACGCCGUCCUUGAGUGAUGCAAACAACAGGGUUAUAAAAUCUGCAAAUAAGAAAGCAGAUGGGGAUGAUUCUAACGUCUUCAUCUCAAUUCAAGCAUUUCCCGCACUGCUGGAUUUACCAGAAGAGUCAGAGGUCAGCAAAGUCAGCUGUGGGUCACGACAUAGUGCGGUCAUCACCAGGGAAGGUAACCUCUUCACCUGGGGCUGGGGAAAGCAGCAUAAGAACCAAGAAAGCUGAAAAUGAAUCAUUCUAAGAAGACCCAGCAUUGAAUCAAAGAAAGAUCAUUACAGACAAACAACUGCAUGUCAUCAGUGCUGAAAAUUAAAAAAAAGACAAUCACAAUUGUUAUGGACCAGGCCAGAAGCCUCAAAAUAUUUAAGAAGAUGCUGCAUGAACCUUACACAAUUCUGAUGGUCUAAACAUUUUCAAUUCUAACAACUUGAAGAUUUCUACUCAAACAUUUCAGGCUUUGAAGCUCCACAAACAGAAUUGCCUCUGGAGAGGGCAGUGUAACAAGCUGCCUGCUCAGCCUCCUAAACAGGAGUCCAUAUAUUAUUUGGAAAUGUAUCACCAUAAAGUUAACAAGCAGCAUUGGAAAGUAGACCACUGCACUGAUAUCUGUAUUCAGUCAUGAUCAACUACAAUUCUUGAUGUGCACCAUGUUCUUGUAAUGUGCCUCUUAGUAUUGAGUAAAUAUGAUUCACUUGCUUUUAUAAAUUAUAUUUAAUAAGACAUUGCAAUGAAGUACAGGCACCAAUUCAAUUCAUGAAAAUUAUAACACAUACAUAAAAGUGCAAUUGGUGGUACCCAUCCAACCUAUUCCCUACAUUUUGAUUAAACAUUUUUCAAGUAAUUAUCCAGUUUCCCUUAAAAUUUGUGCAUACUCCUUGGCCUUUUUAAUUACAGUUUAAAUCAAAGCUCACCCUAGGAACCAUGACAGUAUUUAAUGCCCGAACAUCACAAACACAGAUGAUCUGGUUGUUUCUGGGCACUUUAUGCGCAAAUCAGCAGCUGUGUUUCAAACAUUAUAACAAUACCCACACAUUUUAAAAGUACUUAAUUGGCAGUAAAAUACUUCAAAAUGUUCCAAUGUGGCAGAAGGGUCCAUAGAAAUGUCUUUCUUUAAAGGCCCCACCUGUGGAAUGUAUCCCAUACUUGAACAUCUUCACGUGGAACACAGGAAUGUGCGGGAAUUUUUAUUUUAAUCAUCCAUCUUUGUAUGUCCACAUUACAUGAACUUUAUGUAACAAACACCAAACAGAAAUCGAUUAUUUAAUGGACUAUGCAAUUGUUCAAUCACCUUUAUAAAAGAAAGUCAACAUAAAGUUCCCCUGAGUUUUCCAAAAGUUAGGAAGAAUGAUUAAUUGCUUCUGAAAACAAUGGUUAAUGAAGAUCCUAUUCUUCAGUCUGUACAUCAUAAUUUCACUCAGAGACAGUGAUGU